AUUGAACGCUGGCGGAAUGCUUUACACAUGCAAGUCGAACGGCAGCACGGGUGCUUGCACCUGGUGGCGAGUGGCGAACGGGUGAGUAAUGCACCGGAACGUAUCCAAUAAUGGGGGAUAACGCACCGAAAGGUGUGCUAAUACCGCAUACGCCCUGAGGGGGAAAGCGGGGGAUCGUAAGACCUCGCGUUAAUGGAGCGGCCGAUGCCGGAUUAGCUAGUUGGUGAGGUAAAGGCUCACCAAGGCGACGAUCCGUAGCUGGUCUGAGAGGACGACCAGCCACACUGGAACUGAGACACGGUCCAGACUCCUACGGGAGGCAGCAGUGGGGAAUUUUGGACAAUGGGCGCAAGCCUGAUCCAGCCAUUCCGCGUGAGUGAGGAAGGCCUCGGGUUGUAAAGGCUCUUUCG
RNAcentral lists this ribosomal RNA (410 nucleotides) under uncultured bacterium. RNAcentral's name for it is "bacterial SSU rRNA". It matches the Rfam family "Bacterial small subunit ribosomal RNA", at positions 30 to 438 of the family's 1533-position model. The record is from RNAcentral.